GCUGUAAUGUGUGCAUAGUUUUCAUCUAUGUCUGGUAGCAGUGUCUGUCUGCGUUUUGCAUUCAAAUCUUGCUAUCCACGCAUAUGUCAUGCAGCCAAAGAUUAUCUUGGGAUCAUAGUACUGGUCUAGUGUUGUCUCUGGACACACCCAUCACUGGCCAGCCUCCAAACUCCCAUACACAA
Molecule: small nucleolar RNA, 182 nt
Filed under: Choloepus hoffmanni (Hoffmann's two-fingered sloth)
Lineage: Eukaryota; Metazoa; Chordata; Mammalia; Pilosa; Megalonychidae
Description: Small nucleolar RNA SNORA23 (ENSCHOG00000015369.1)
Rfam family: Small nucleolar RNA SNORA23
About the family: The members of this family belong to the H/ACA class of snoRNAs which are thought to guide the sites of modification of uridines to pseudouridines. This family includes human snoRNA ACA23 (SNORA23) and mouse snoMBI-1.
Source: RNAcentral